RNAcentral lists this ribosomal RNA (253 nucleotides) under uncultured bacterium. Its description in RNAcentral is "partial 16S ribosomal RNA". It matches the Rfam family "Bacterial small subunit ribosomal RNA", at positions 524 to 776 of the family's 1533-position model. The record is from RNAcentral.
UACGAAGGGGGCUAGCGUUGCUCGGAAUCACUGGGCGUAAAGGGUGCGUAGGCGGGUUCUUAAGUCAGAGGUGAAAUCCUGGAGCUCAACUCCAGAACUGCCUUUGAUACUGAGAGUCUUGAGUUCGGGAGAGGUGAGUGGAACUGCGAGUGUAGAGGUGAAAUUCGUAGAUAUUCGCAAGAACACCAGUGGCGAAGGCGGCUCACUGGCCAGAUACUGACGCUGAGGCACGAAAGCGUGGGGAGCAAACAGG